RNAcentral lists this ribosomal RNA (375 nucleotides) under uncultured bacterium. RNAcentral describes it as "bacterial SSU rRNA". It matches the Rfam family "Bacterial small subunit ribosomal RNA", at positions 30 to 417 of the family's 1533-position model. The record is from RNAcentral.
AUUGAACGCUGGCGGCAGGCUUAACACAUGCAAGUCGAGCGGAGACUUCGGUCUUAGCGGCGAACGGGUGAGGAAUGCCUGGGAAUCUGCCUGUUAGUGGGGGAUAACGUUCCGAAAGGAACGCUAAUACCGCAUACGUCCUACGGGAGAAAGCAGGGGACCUUCGGGCCUUGCGCUAACAGAUGAGCCCAGGUCGGAUUAGCUAGUUGGUGAGGUAACGGCUUACCAAGGCGACGAUCUGUAGCGGGUCUGAGAGGAUGAUCCGCCACACUGGAACUGAGACACGGUCCAGACUCCUACGGGAGGCAGCAGUGGGGAAUUUUGGACAAUGGGCGCAAGCCUGAUCCAGCCAUGCCGCGUGAGUGAAGAAGGCCU